Molecule: long non-coding RNA, 3085 nt
Filed under: Pan troglodytes (chimpanzee)
Lineage: Eukaryota; Metazoa; Chordata; Mammalia; Primates; Hominidae
Description: long non-coding RNA NONPTRT002863
Source: RNAcentral
GGCCAGCUUCUGCCAGGGCUGGCAGAAAGAGGGGGUGGCAUGGCACGGAGCCGCAGUGGGUGGAGGACUGGCUUCCACUGCUGUGCCUGAGGAAGCCGCGGCUGUUUCUGGGUGGGAUGAGAGUAGUGGGAGGGGGAUACUGGCCUUGUGAGAAGAAAAGGGAAGUGUCUGUUUGAGAGGUUUUUGAAUUAGUAAAGGAGGACAGGCGCAAACUCCAAGCGCUUCACUUGCACCCGGGACCAAACCCCAAUCCCAGUGGCUCCCUGAGGCCGCCCCGCUCCGUCCCGCCCCGCUGACAGCGGCUGGGCUGGUGAAGGCUCUAUACGGACACACCUCUGGGGACGGGGAACCCACUGCUCCCAGCUAAAGCAACCCUGUUUCCUGGCCCGCCUCAGACAGGGCUGCAGGCCUUGUUUGAGCCCCUUUCAGGGCACUUGGCCUUGGAUUGUCUGUGGCUGUGCCUGGUCCGCUGUGACUUCCUUUCUACUUGAGCCUUGCUAAGGCAGACUCUACUCCCUCACUCGUAAGCAGCCAGGCGUCCAGCAGGUCCUCCAACGUCGAUCUUGGCCCUAAGACGCCCAAUCUGGGCACGGAGUUGUUGAGAUCCGGCAGGAAGUCCCUGCUCCAGGGCCAAAGGCCCCACCCGGGCUCCCCCGGAUGUCCCCGCACCCCCCUCUAUUCUCCCAAAAGAAAGAAGCUGCUUCCCACUUUGGAAACGUUUAUUCUGAGCACCGGGAAGGGGGGCGGCGGCGGGCGCCUCACUGGGUGUUGAGCUUCUUAGUGUACUCCUCGAGAGCGCUCAGGAAGCUGACCUUGAAGCUCUCCAGCACGGGCAGCAGGCCCUGGCGGAGGUCCUCGAGCGCGGGCUUGGCCUUCUCGCUGAGCGUGCUCAGAUGCUCGGUGGCCUUGGCGUGGUACUCGGCCAGUCUGGCGCCGCCGUUCUCCUUGAGAGCCUCAAGGCGCGCGGCCAAGCGCUGGCGCAGCUCGUCGCUGUAGGGGGCCAGAUGCGUGCGCAGCGCGUCCACAUGGGCGCGCGCGCGGUCGCGCAUCUCCUCGCCCAGUGGGCUCAGCUUCUCUUGCAGCUCGUGCAGCUUCUGGCGCGCGCCCUCUUGGAGCUCGGCGCGCAGCGGCUCCACCUUCUGGCGGUAGAGCUCCAUCUCCUCCUGCCACUUCUUCUGGAAGUCGUCCAGGUAGGGCUGCACCUUGGCCUUCACCUCCUCCAGAUCCUUGCUCAUCUCCUGCCUCAGGCCCUCUGUCUCCUUUUCCAGGUUAUCCCAGAACUCCUGGGUCACAGGGCCGAGCUGUUCGCGCAGCUUGCUGAAGGUGGAGGUCACGCUGUCCCAGUUGUCAAGGAGCUUUAGGCUGGAGGGUGAGACAGAACGGUUGAGGGCUGGCCUCCCAGCGCCCCAGGCUAUCAGGGGUGAGCCCUGGGUGACACCUGUCCGCGGAGGUGCAGUGGCCUAGCAUUUCCAGUACACUCUCAACCAACACCCCUGCCCCGCCAGGCCAUGCCCCGUUGUGCAGCUGGACCGAGGCACAGAGAGGAGCUAAAAAGGAGACAGAGCUGGGACUGGUGCCCAGUUACGUUGGUCUCCAAAGUGGGCCCUUGAAGGACCUCGCUUCUAUGCCUCCAGCGCAUUCUCCUCUCCGAAGACAGCCCACAGUCUUGCCGGGCAGGAGCAGAGGAGGUGGUGAAGAAGGGAAAGGGGCCUGCUACACUUGCAGGCACAAUGUGGCUCUGUGAUCACGCAUCGGGCAGCCCUGGUCUGUCCUUUGCAGGGGACAUGGGCUGUGACCCUGCCUGGAGAUCCCAUUCCGGUUUCUCCAUCCAGACCAUCUGUGGGGCCCAGCUCAUCAGAUAUUAGGUGAGGACUCGGCCAGUCUGGCUUCAACAUCAUCCCGAACAGGGUUACCAAGUCCUGGCCCUGGAUGCCCUGACAUGUGUAGGAGUGUUGGCAGGAAGUCACACAGGAAGGAAGGUAAAGAGAAACUAGAGAAAAUAAUUUUUGAAGAAAAACAUUUCAGGAAGUAUUGAAAGUACACGGUAACUCAGCCUGGGGCAGGGGUGGAGGGCAGGCCCACUGGAGCCUGCAGCUGUGCCUGGCAUGUUGCUGAGCAUGUCAACAGGCUCUUGGACUUGGAUGGUGACCUGCUGUGACUGAGCAGGCUGCUGCAUACCCAAGCAGGUUAGUGCCACGUUGGGAGGAGAGGAACAGUUCUCAGGUUGCUGCUGAAAGAUUGCACUGCGGGAAGGUAAGCCUUGAAACUGGGAAGAAGAUGCAGCCCCUGGAGAGAAAGGAACCUCAGAGUGACCAAGUGCCCAGGCCACCAGCCAGCCAGAAGUAAUGAGAGCUAAUGAGGAUACUCAGACGACAUACCAGCUAGAACAGUGCUUCUCAAACUGCACUGUGCAUAGGACAAGUCUGGAGAACUUGUUAAACAGAAGAUUCCUGGGUCCUAUCUAUAUAAUUCUGUUUCAAACUCUGAUUCAGUAGGUCAGGAUGGGCCCCUAAGAAUUUGUGUUUCCAACAAGUUCCCUUAAAAGCUGGUCCAUGGAUUACAUGGGGUAACUCGGAUCUAGGCAGUGCUUCUUGAACUUUCACGUGCACACAAAUGGCCUGGCAUCUGGUUAAAAAUGCAGACUCUAGGCCGGGCGUGGUGGCUGACACCUGUAAUCCCAGCACUUGGGAGAACGAGGUGGGCGGAUCAUGAGGUCAGGAGUUCGAGACCAGCCUGGCCACCAUGGCGAAACCCUGUCUCUACUAAAAAUACAAAAAUUAGCUGGGUGUGGUGGCGGGCGCCUGUAAUCCCAGCUACUUGGGAGGCUGAGGCAGGAGAAUCAUUUGAACCCGGAGGUGGAGGUUGCAGUGAGCCGAGAUCAUACCACUGCACUCCAGCCUGGGUGACAGGGGGAGACUCCAUCUCAAAAAAAAAAAAAAACAGACUCUAACAGGUCUGGAAUAUGACCUGAGAUCUUACUUUUUCUCCCGAUAUUGGUGGCUGGGGGACCCCACUUUAAGUAGGAAGAGCCUAGAGGCCAAUUCAGACUCUUCUCAAGGAUCCUAGGAGACUGACUAGGGACGUA